CUUUCAAAAAGAAAAAGAAAAGAAUAUGUUCACUAUAAAUUGCUUAUGCUCCGUGAUUGGAGGAGGCCUUUGACAUUUUGCAAAACUUAAUUGGCACCUAUGUUCUGAAUUUUUGUUUCCAGAAUUAAAAUAUGAAAUUGACACUAUAUACUGAUUUAUAUGAUUACCGUCUAUCACCCUCUCAAACUUAUUUUCUUCUACAAGACUUUUUGACCGG
This 217-nucleotide long non-coding RNA is filed under the name Brassica napus (rape). RNAcentral describes it as "long non-coding RNA (BNAP_LNC009238)". The record is from RNAcentral. Lineage: Eukaryota; Viridiplantae; Streptophyta; Magnoliopsida; Brassicales; Brassicaceae.